UCGAGGGGCAGCGGGUAGAUGAGCUUGCUCAUUUAUGCCGGCGACCGGCGCACGGGUGAGUAACACGUAUGCAACCUGCCCGUCUCAGGGGGAUAAUCGUCGGAAACGGCGUCUAAUACCCCGUAUGAAGCUGGACGGCAUCGUCUGGUUUUGAAAGAAUAUCGGAGACGGAUGGGCAUGCGGCGCAUUAGCUGGUUGGCGGGGUAACGGCCCACCAAGGCGACGAUGCGUAGGGGUUCUGAGAGGAAGGUCCCCCACACUGGUACUGAGACACGGACCAGACUCCUACGGGAGGCAGCAGUGAGGAAUAUUGGUCAAUGGGCGAGAGCCUGAACCAGCCAAGUCGCGUGAGGGAGUACUGCCCUAUGGGUUGUAAACCUCUUUUGUCGGGGAGCAAAAGCCGGACGUGUCCGGCUGUGAGAGUACCCGAAGAAAAAGCAUCGGCUAACUCCGUGCCAGCAGCCGCGGUAAUACGGAGGAUGCGAGCGUUAUCCGGAUUUAUUGGGUUUAAAGGGUGCGCAGGCGGAUUUUUAAGUCAGCGGUCAAAUCGUGGGGCUCAACCCCAUCCAGCCGUUGAAACUGGGGAUCUAGAGUGUGCGAGAGGUAUGCGGAAUGCGUGGUGUAGCGGUGAAAUGCAUAGAUAUCACGCAGAACCCCGAUUGCGAAGGCAGCAUACCGGUGCACAACUGACGCUCAGGCACGAAAGCGUGGGUAUCGAACAGGAUUAGAUACCCUGGUAGUCCACGCAGUAAACGAUGAAUGCUACCUGUUUGGCCUGAUUGAAGGCUG
This 789-nucleotide ribosomal RNA is filed under the name uncultured bacterium. RNAcentral's name for it is "bacterial SSU rRNA". It matches the Rfam family "Bacterial small subunit ribosomal RNA", at positions 62 to 841 of the family's 1533-position model. The record is from RNAcentral.